Molecule: transfer RNA, 73 nt
Filed under: Euzebyales bacterium
Lineage: Bacteria; Bacillati; Actinomycetota; Nitriliruptoria; Euzebyales
Also listed under: 1 other name
Description: tRNA-Asn
Rfam family: tRNA
About the family: Transfer RNA (tRNA) molecules are approximately 80 nucleotides in length.
Source: RNAcentral
UCCGGGGUAGCUCAGUUGGCAGAGCACUCGCCUGUUAAGCGAGCUGUCGUCGGUUCGAGCCCGACCCCCGGAG